CUCCUCGCCCACCGCAAUAACCGGGCUGCUCACCUUUGGGUGAAUUUUAGCUUCCCAGUGGCUGUUCUAAUUCCCGAGGCUUGGCCAGUGCGCUGGCUCAGUGGAUAAAGGCACAUGCCCCUCCGCCCAUUGACCAGAGUUCAAUCCCAAGACCUACAUGGUGGAAGGAGAGAGCCCAUUCCCGUCAGCUGUCCUGUGACUUCCGUACUCACACGGUGGCACAUGUACACACGGUUAAAUAAACAGAUAAAUAAAUAA
RNAcentral lists this long non-coding RNA (258 nucleotides) under Rattus norvegicus (Norway rat). RNAcentral's name for it is "long non-coding RNA NONRATT006086". The record is from RNAcentral. Lineage: Eukaryota; Metazoa; Chordata; Mammalia; Rodentia; Muridae.